GCGACUUAUAUUCUGUAGCAAGGUUAACCGAAUAGGGGAGCCGGAGGGAAACCGAGUCUUAAUUGGGCGUUAAGUUGCAGGGUAUAGACCCGAAACCCGGUGAUCUAGCCAUGGGCAGGUUGAAGGUUGGGUAACACUAACUGGAGGACCGAACCGACUAAUGUUGAAAAAUUAGCGGAUGACCUGUGGCUGGGGGUGAAAGGCCAAUCAAACCGGGAGAUAGCUGGUUCUCCCCGAAAGCUAUUUAGGUAGCGCCUCGUGAAUUCAUCUCCGGGGGUAGAGCACUGUUUCGGCUAGGGGGCCAUCCCGGCUUACCAACCCGAUGCAAACUGCGAAUACCGGAGAAUGUUAUCACGGGAGACACACGGCGGGUGCUAACGUCCGUCGUGAAGAGGGAAACAACCCAGACCGCCAGCUAAGGUCCCAAAGUCAUGGUUAAGUGGGAAACGAUGUGGGAAGGCCCAGACAGCCAGGAUGUUGGCUUAGAAGCAGCCAUCAUUUAAAGAAAGCGUAAUAGCUCACUGGUCGAGUCGGCCUGCGCGGAAGAUGUAACGGGGCUAAACCAUGCACCGAAGCUGCGGCAGCGACGCUGAUGCGUUGUUGGGUAGGGGAGCGUUCUGUAAGCCUGCGAAGGUGGCCUGUGAGGGUUGCUGGAGGUAUCAGAAGUGCGAAUGCUGACAUAAGUAACGAUAAAGCGGGUGAAAAGCCCGCUCGCCGGAAGACCAAGGGUUCCUGUCCAACGUUAAUCGGGGCAGGGUGAGUCGACCCCUAAGGCGAGGCCGAAAGGCGUAGUCGAUGGGAAACGGGUUAAUAUUCCCGUACUUGGUGUUACUGCGAAGGGGGGACGGAGAAGGCUAUGUUGGCCGGGCGACGGUUGUCCCGGUUUAAGCGUGUAGGUGUGUGUUCCAGGUAAAUCCGGUUCACUUUAACACUGAGGCGUGAUGACGAGGCACUACGGUGCUGAAGCAACAAAUGCCCUGCUUCCAGGAAAAGCCUCUAAGCAUCAGGUAACAUCAAAUCG
RNAcentral lists this ribosomal RNA (1021 nucleotides) under Salmonella enterica subsp. enterica serovar Bredeney. RNAcentral's name for it is "partial 23S ribosomal RNA". It matches the Rfam family "Bacterial large subunit ribosomal RNA", at positions 623 to 1644 of the family's 2925-position model. Lineage: Bacteria; Pseudomonadati; Pseudomonadota; Gammaproteobacteria; Enterobacterales; Enterobacteriaceae. The record is from RNAcentral.